UGAGGAAUAUUGGUCAAUGGGCGAUGGCCUGAACCAGCCAAGUAGCGUGAAGGAUGACUGCCCUCUGGGUUGUAAACUUCUUUUAUAAAGGAAUAAAGUCGGGUAUGCAUACCCGUUUGCAUGUACUUUAUGAAUAAGGAUCGGCUAACUCCGUGCCAGCAGCCGCGGUAAUACGGAGGAUCCGAGCGUUAUCCGGAUUUAUUGGGUUUAAAGGGAGCGUAGAUGGAUGUUUAAGUCAGUUGUGAAAGUUUGCGGCUCAACCGUAAAAUUGCAGUUGAUACUGGAUGUCUUGAGUGCAGUUGAGGCAGGCGGAAUUCGUGGUGUAGCGGUGAAAUGCUUAGAUAUCACGAAGAACUCCGAUUGCGAAGGCAGCCUGCUAAGCUGCAACUGACAUUGAGGCUCGAAAGUGUGGGUAUCAAACAGG
Molecule: ribosomal RNA, 424 nt
Filed under: Acidobacteriota bacterium
Lineage: Bacteria; Pseudomonadati; Acidobacteriota
Description: Acidobacteria bacterium partial 16S ribosomal RNA
Rfam family: Bacterial small subunit ribosomal RNA
Source: RNAcentral